Molecule: long non-coding RNA, 1888 nt
Organism: Patella vulgata (common limpet)
Lineage: Eukaryota; Metazoa; Mollusca; Gastropoda; Patellidae
Exons: 2
Source: RefSeq, a predicted model, not a curated record
UCAUUAUUACAUAAUAAAUAUAUAAAAUGACAAUAAAUGAUGUGGUAUUCAUAUUUCAAUCAGAAGACGGAGAAAAAUGGGGUUUAAGUCCACUCGACAGAAACUAGGUAUUUUGGCAUUAACACAUGGUCCAAUUUUAUUUCAAUAAUUUGCUUGUGCGUAUGGGUCAUUAGCAAUGGAAGGAAACUGGAGUUCGCAGAGAAAACCCUCGAAGGAUGAACGUGCUACCCUACUCCUUGCCACGUACAACUGGGGAUUUGAAACCACACCAGUUCACUAAAUGGCAGACCUUAUGAUACAGCGCGCACAUACUAACCAUUCACCCCCCCCCCCCUUAUUUCAAACAACAAAAUUAAAUGUAUUGAUACAAAUAUAUAUCUAUGGAUACAAAUAUAUCUGUACAAAUGUAUAUAGAUAGAAUAAUCGUAUAGAUAAAGAAAAAUUAAAAUCCCCGGCUACAAUCCAACCAGGGAAUAGCGGGAGUGUAGACGAUCUGGGACCUAGCUCUCCAAACAAAUUACGCUCCUGAAGCAAAAAGAAAGAGUAAAUCGGUGCUGCCUGUUGUGUGUAUUAUAUGUAAAAAACGUGACAGAUUUGUCACUGUUGGAGAAAAUAGGAAGAAGGGUGUAUUAACACAGACUCAGACCCAAACAGGCUCAGGUAGGCCUAAUGUUAAUAUUAUGUUACUUACUAAAUUUAUAAUUAUUACUAAUAAAUAUUAAAUAUAUUCAUCCUACAGUUUUUAAUUAUUGUGUUGUUGUUUUUGUUGUAAAUGGAAUCAGAAGUGCUACUGCAAUCACUGUAAAAUUGUUAUGAAGCUAGCCAGUAAAGCCCUUUACCCCAUUUGUUGAUUUGGCACAGUCAUUGGUUAAAGUGUUGCACAUUUGCUUGCACAAGGGAUGAAACAUAGAGAAGUUAACUUGUUUUUUAUUUUCUUGGCCCACUUGUAGGUGCCUUGCUAAGACGAUCUGUCUCUAGACCAUUUCCGCUCACACAAAGGAUCUGAACUAAACCGCAUGCCAGAGUUGACCAGCCAGGUACAUGUACAUGUAGGCCUCAAAGUGACAUUCCCUCCCCCACCCUUGAGCACAAACAACAUUCAACGCUAUAUGGUGUAUAAUUUGUUUGCAAAUUUGUUUGUAGGCCAACUGUUGAAAGCUGCUGAAUUGAAAGAGGAUGAAGAUAUUUUAAGGCAUAUCAGAGGGCAAGAUUGUGUGGCCAUUGAGGUCAGAUAUCACCAAAAAUGUUAUAGGCAAUAUACAUGUACUGAAUUUCUUAGACAGUUAUCAGAAAGCAAAGAUGACUAGCCCUCCGUCGAAUAUUAAACCACAUACAAUAUAUUCUGUGAAGAUGUCAUAAGAGAAAGAAUCAUAAAUGGCCAGCAAAGUUGUCUUGUACAGACAGAGAGAGAGAGAGAGAAAUGGGGUUUAACGUCCACUCAACACAAACUAGGUCAUUUUGGGACUAACAUACGGUUUCAAUUUUAUUUCAAUAAUUCGCUUGCGCGUAUGGGCCUUUAGCAGUGAGAGGAAACCGGAGUGCCCGGAGGAAACCCACGAGGUUGAGAAGACGCCUCUAUCUCCAUGCCACAUACGCUCACACCUGGGAUCAAAGCCACAGCCACAAGCCAGAGGUGACCGACCAGCUAGAGGUCGAAGCGCGGCACUCUAGGCCAUCCCAACCCCCCUUUCUUGUACAGACCUGUGCAUGUGUAGUCAAUGUGAAAAUGAAAAAAAACUGUUAAAGAGACCGAAUUUGAUGUUAAUACAUUUAGUGACAGUGAUGAUGAUAAUGAAGAUUAACUUUGAUGACAUUUGAUGUGCAGAGUAACUGUUUAAUUUUGAUUUUCAAUGAUUGUUUCACUUUAAUAAAUAAUUUCACAACUGUU